Molecule: long non-coding RNA, 2638 nt
Organism: Lutra lutra (Eurasian river otter)
Lineage: Eukaryota; Metazoa; Chordata; Mammalia; Carnivora; Mustelidae
Exons: 2
Source: RefSeq, a predicted model, not a curated record
CACAGCGUUGUGCCCUUGAAGUAGGCGGACUGUAGGACAUGCAAGUUCUAGCUCAAUAAAGCUGGGAAAAAUGAAAGUUUCCAUUUUCCAAAAAGAAAAAUUUUCAGUGACCCUGUAUUCAUCCUGUGGCUAUUCCGUCUGCAGCAGGAGUGAGCCACUCACUGGGGUCUUCGCGGACACAGAUUCCCAAGCUCGGUUAGCUCUUUGGAAAAGUUGAGACACAUCACACACACAUUGGGAUAGUGGAGCAAGAAAAAGGAUCUUGAUGUUACAGGGGGUCUGAUAAUGGGAGUCAGGAAGGGGAGGGUCCUAUGACUCAAAGUGCACAAAAGCACUUCUCUACCACUGAAGGUAGAUGAAAGAAAAUCCUGACUCUGGUGGGGUGGCUGUCAUUGCCACCAAAAAAAUAAUGCUAAAAUAAAAUAAAAUAAUAAAAUAUAAAAUAUAAAUAUGGGUUGCAAGUGGGAUGCUGAGAAGUUCCAUGAUUGAGUUGUAGUCCUAGAAUGAAAAUACAGUAGCUUUGGUUGUUUCCAGCUGUAAAAGUGAUUUGGUGCCGGAUAUCAAUUUUAUGGCCUUUCCCUGGGUGUAAUAACUGGAAAGUGCCCGAGGAAAAUCUCUGUCCAAAAUCUAGCUGCUCUCCACAUAGGUCCUCCUGCCUCUACAAGUGAGAGCUGAUGGGGAGCUGGCAAAUAAUUACAUUAUUUCUGCAGUAAAGCCCGAUACAUCCCUAAUAAAAGUUAAUGAUUAUGCUCAGACUUUCAGACAUUCGGAGUCUAGACUGAAGACACUGAAAGGAAACUUUGUACGUCCAUUCUUCAGCGUUCGGCACGAGCAGGACUAUAAAGUGACUUCAACAUCAGCCUCAAGUGUCCGUGCAUUUGUUACCUUCUGCCUUAGGCACAGAGGCCCCGUUAGGACUCUGGGAAGAAGUCAAGGCUGUACUUGAUGUUCCAAACCAUUAAAAAGCUACAGCAUUCCAACAUGAAUGCCAAAGGCAGAACACAACCAGCAUCUUUUCUUUGUAGGGUGGGAAGCUUCGUCUCUUUCCCUGGACUCGGUAAAUUCGGCCUUUUCUCUUCCUCCCCGGUGGGAAGAGAGGGAAGUGGGAACAGAGGGGUCGGCAGCGGGUAGUGACAUCCUGACACAGUUGUCAGAUUUCAGAACUGGGAAAGAGCCUCACGCGCCCUCUAAGGCCAACUUUUGAUUUCACGGAAGAGGAAACCACGGCUCAGGAGGACCAAGGGACUUGCCUCAGUCAUUGCCUCAGGCCCCUGGGGAUCUGACACAUCCAGGUGGACUUUCAGAUGAUGAAAUCUCCCAGGUAGAAGAUCACUCUGACACCUCAUUUACUCAGCCAACUAGCAUUUACUGAGCACCUGCUGUGUGCCAGGCGUGGGCCCUGGACCUGCCGGCUUGCGGGAAAGCAGGGAGAUGGGAGGUAAGCAAGUGGUACUAGCUGCUGUGACAGGGACUGAGGGGGCGUGGGCUUGGGAAGACCCCCUGAGGAGAGGACAUUUGAGCUGAGACCUGGACGACACGGGCACAGCCAUGAGACCCAGAGAGCCUAGACCCGUGCUGGAAGGAGAAGCCAGGCCAAGCGGCUGAAGCCAGGGAGCGAGGCUCUGGAGGAACGUGGGCACAUGGAUCCAGCACUUGAGUGAGAGACAGACACCAGGACAAGUCAAUAGAAUAUACAAGUUCAUCGAAGAUGAGGGAAGCUCAGCCAAGGACACCAGUCAAGGGCUGGGCUGAAGACGAACAGCUCACCCUGGUUGGCUCAAUCAUUUUGGAGGAGUGGGGGGUCUACCUGAAACCUAAAGGCCGCUGUUAGGGGUUGCAUUAUGUCCCCACUCCCUCCAAAGAUAUGCCAGAGUCCUAACCCCCAGUACCUGUGAGCGUGACCUUAUUUGGAAAUGGGGUCAUUGAAGAUGGAGUUGGUUAAGAUGAGGUGAUCGUGGACUAGGGCGGGCCCUUCAUCCGACAUGACUGGUGUCCUUAGAAGAAGAGAGACAAACGUAGAGGAAAACGCCUCUGAAGACACAGGCAGGGGCUGGAGCGAUGUGUCUGCCGGCCCAGGAAUACCAAGCGUUGCUGGCAACACCAAAAACCAGAAGAAGCAAACAAGGAUCCGUCCCUACAGGGUUCAGAGGGAAUGCGGCCGGCCAACACCUUGGUUUUGGACUUCUGGUCGCCCGGAUUGUGAGAGACACUUCUCUUGUUUUGAACCACCCGGUUUGUGGUCCUUCGUGACGACAGCCCAGGAAGCUAACAUCAGUGUGUGGGAGCCAGGCACACAGAGAAUGGGAGAAGAGGGUCCCGGGGCUGACAGAACAGCACUGGGAGUGGCCAGGAAACGUGUCUGGUUGUUCAUGAUGGCAGUGGUUGCUGGGAGAGGGUGCCAAGCAGGAGCUGGCAGGACGGGCCUUGUAAGAAGAAGGCUGUGUGCCGGAUGUGGAUGAGAUGGGGGGAGUGGAGCCCAGAGAACCUCACCGGAAGUUGGUGGCCCCUGCUCUAGGAUGAUGCCAUGAGAGGGAGGUGAUGGAAAGUUCUGGCAAGUAUGUUAGAGAAAAAACCCUGACUGGACGGGGGGUGAGUUGGGUGCAAAUAGGUUUAAAGUAUAAAUAAAUGCUUUCAAGAA